UACGUAGGGUGCAAGCGUUAUCCGGAAUCACUGGGCGUAAAGCGUGCGUAGGCGGAAAUUUAAGUGUGAUGUUAAAUCGUGGGGCUCAACCCUGUCGAUGCAUCGCAUACUGGGUUUCUAGAGGACGGCAGAGGCAAGUGGAACUCGUAGUGUAGCAGUGAAAUGCGUAGAUAUUACGAAGAACACCAAUGGCGAAGGCAGCUUGCUGGGCCGCCCCUGACGCUGAGGCACGAAAGCGUGGGGAGCGAACGGG
This 253-nucleotide ribosomal RNA is filed under the name uncultured bacterium. Its description in RNAcentral is "partial 16S ribosomal RNA". It matches the Rfam family "Bacterial small subunit ribosomal RNA", at positions 524 to 776 of the family's 1533-position model. The record is from RNAcentral.